AGCGAACGCUGGCGGCAGGCCUAACACAUGUAAGUCGAACGCCCCGCAAGGGGAGUGGCAGACGGGUGAGUAACACGUGGGAACGUACCCUUUGGUUCGGAAUAACUUGGGGAAACUCAAGCUAAUACCGGAUAAGCCCUUAUGGGGAAAGGUUUACUGCCGAAGGAUCGGCCCGCGUCUGAUUAGCUAGUUGGUGAGGUAAUGGCUCACCAAGGCGACGAUCAGUAGCUGGUCUGAGAGGAUGAUCAGCCACACUGGGACUGAGACACGGCCCAGACUCCUACGGGAGGCAGCAGUGGGGAAUAUUGGACAAUGGGGGCAACCCUGAUCCAGCCAUGCCGCGUGAGUGAUGAAGGCCUUAGGGUUGUAAAGCUCUUUUACCCGGGACGAUAAUGACUGUACCGGGAGAAUAAGCCCCGGCUAACUUCGUGCCAGCAGCCGCGGUAA
RNAcentral lists this ribosomal RNA (447 nucleotides) under uncultured bacterium. RNAcentral's name for it is "partial 16S ribosomal RNA". It matches the Rfam family "Bacterial small subunit ribosomal RNA", at positions 29 to 523 of the family's 1533-position model. The record is from RNAcentral.